AGUCGAGCGAGGUAGCAAUACCUAGCGGCAGACGGGUGCGUAACAUGUCGGAAUCUGCCUUUUGGUUCGGAACAACACGGGGAAACCUGUGCUAAUACCGGAUAAGUCCUUACGGAGAAAGUUUUAAUGCCAAAAGAUGAGCCCGCAUUUGAUUAGCUAGUUGGUGAGGUAAAAGCUCACCAAGGCGAUAAUCAAUAGCUGAUUUGAGAGGAUGAUCAGCCACACUGGGACUGAGAUACGGCCCAGACUCCUACGGGAGGCAGCAGUGGGGAAUCUUGCACAAUGGGCGAAAGCCUGAUGCAGCGAUGCCGCGUGAGUGAAGAAGGCCUUUGGGUUGUAAAGCUCUUUUGUCGGGAAAGAUAAUGACUGUACCCGAAGAAUAAGGUCCGGCUAACUUCGUGCCAGCAGCCGCGGUAAUACGAAGGGACCUAGCGUAGUUCGGAAUUACUGGGCGUAAAGAGUAUGUAGGCGGCUAGAUAAGUUAAUUGUGAAAGCCCAAAGCUUAACUUUGGAAUUGCAAUUAAAACUAUUUAGCUGGAGUAUGAUAGAGGAAAGCGGAAUACAUAGUGUAGAGGUGAAAUUCGUAGAUAUUGUGUAGAACACCAGUUGCGAAGGCGGCUUUCUGGAUCAUUACUGACGCUGAGAUACGAAAGUAUGGGUAGCGAAGAGGAUUAGAUACCCUCGUAGUCCAUACCAUAAACGAUGAUUAUUAGAUGUGGGGAAUUAUUUCUCUGUAUCAUAGCUAACGCGUUNAAUAAUCCGCCUGGGGAGUACGACCGCAAGGUUAAAACUCAAAUGAAUUGACGGGGACCCGCACAAGCGGUGGAGCA
This 830-nucleotide ribosomal RNA is filed under the name uncultured Alphaproteobacteria bacterium. RNAcentral describes it as "bacterial SSU rRNA". It matches the Rfam family "Bacterial small subunit ribosomal RNA", at positions 60 to 939 of the family's 1533-position model. Lineage: Bacteria; Pseudomonadati; Pseudomonadota; Alphaproteobacteria. The record is from RNAcentral.